This is an unclassified non-coding RNA of Bos indicus x Bos taurus (hybrid cattle), 287 nucleotides long. Its record names the gene 7SK. It matches the Rfam family "7SK RNA". From Rfam's summary of the family: 7SK was discovered as an abundant small nuclear RNA in the mid-70s but a possible function has only recently been suggested. Two independent studies have found that 7SK RNA binds the CDK9/cyclin T complex (known as elongation factor P-TEFb). Lineage: Eukaryota; Metazoa; Chordata; Mammalia; Artiodactyla; Bovidae. The record is from Ensembl.
AGGUGUGACAGUGACCUGGCUGGAGCCUCUCUUCCCCACUGAUAACCAAGGUUUAGUCAGUUGUUCUAUCAGUUUCUCCUUCCUCUCUUAGCAUCCCAGGAAGGUCCCUCCUGAAGUUGCACUCGCAGUAGAAAAGGGUUAAUCUUCUCAGAUAAAGGGGGCUGUUUCUUGGUAAGGAUAGGGGAACAGUGGUUUUGCUCCUUGACACAACAAGGCUUAUCAGAGAAGCAUCUCCAGGAAUCUCUGACUCAUUGCUCCAUCUGAAGUGGCUUCCCUUGCCCCUCCCA